Molecule: ribosomal RNA, 782 nt
Filed under: uncultured archaeon
Lineage: Archaea
Description: bacterial SSU rRNA
Rfam family: Archaeal small subunit ribosomal RNA
Source: RNAcentral
UACGGCUCAGUAACACGUAGCUAACCUACCCUUAAGUCAGGGAUAACCUCGGGAAACUGAGGGUAAUACCUGAUAGGAGACAUCCCCUGGAAUGAGUUGUCUCCCAAAUUCGUGCUUAAGGAUGGGGCUGCGGUGGAUUAGGCUGUUGGCGGGGUAAAGGCCCACCAAACCGAUGAUCCAUAAGGGCUCUUAGCGGAGAGGCCCUGAGAGGGAAUCUGAGACACUAUUCCCAGCCCUACGGGGUGCAGCAGUUAGGAAUAAUUUACAAUGCGCGCAAGCGUGAUAAUUUGAGCCAGAGUGUUUUUCAAUUGAAAGACUUUUGUGAAAUGUAAAAAGUUUCACGAAUAAGGACUGGGUAAGACUGGUGCCAGCCGCCGCGGUAAUACUAGCGGUCCAAGUCGCAGCCAUUUUUAUUGGGUCUAAAACAUCCGUAGCUUGCUUGAUAAGUCUUCUGUGAAAUUUUACGUCUAAAACGUAGAGCGCGCAGAAGGUACUGUCAAGCUAGAGACCGGAAGACGUAAGAAGUACAUUCAGAGUAGCGGUUAAAUGUGUUAAUCCUGAAUGGACUAACAAGAGCGAAGGCAUCUUACGAGGACGGUUCUGACAGUAAGGGAUGAAAGCUAGGGGCGCAAAUGGGAUUAGAUACCCCAGUAGUCCUAGCAGUAAACACUGCACACUAAACAUUAGUACCUCUUCGAGAGGUAUUAGUGCUGAAGGGAAGCCGGAGAGUGUGCUACCUGGGAAGUAUAGUCGCAAGGCCGAAACUUAAAGGAAUUGGCGGA